GGACCCGCACAAGCGGUGGAGUAUGUGGUUUAAUUCGAUGCAACACGAAGAACCUUACCAGGGUUUGACAUCCUGCGAAUCUCUUGGAAACGAGAGAGUGCCUUCGGGAGCGCAGUGACAGGUGGUGCAUGGCUGUCGUCAGCUCGUGUCGUGAGAUGUUGGUUAAGUCCCGCAACGAGCGCAACCCACGUCUUUAGUUGCCAGCAUUUAGUUGGGCACUCUAGAGAGACCGCCGGUGAUAAACCGGAGGAAGGUGUGGAUGACGUCAAGUCAUCAUGCCCCUUACAUCCUGGGCUACACACGUGCUACAAUGGUACAGACAGAGGGCAGCCACCUGGCGACAGGGAGCGAA
Molecule: ribosomal RNA, 352 nt
Filed under: uncultured bacterium
Lineage: Bacteria
Description: bacterial SSU rRNA
Rfam family: Bacterial small subunit ribosomal RNA
Source: RNAcentral